Molecule: ribosomal RNA, 774 nt
Filed under: fungal sp.
Lineage: Eukaryota; Fungi
Description: eukaryotic LSU rRNA
Rfam family: Eukaryotic large subunit ribosomal RNA (bases 482-774)
Source: RNAcentral
CAUUACCGAGUUUACAACUCCCAAACCCCUGUGAACAUACCUUAAUGUUGCCUCGGCGGAUCAGCCCGCGCCCCGUAAAACGGGACGGCCCGCCAGAGGACCCAAACUCUAAUGUUUCUUAUUGUAACUUCUGAGUAAAACAAACAAAUAAAUCAAAACUUUCAACAACGGAUCUCUUGGUUCUGGCAUCGAUGAAGAACGCAGCAAAAUGCGAUAAGUAAUGUGAAUUGCAGAAUUCAGUGAAUCAUCGAAUCUUUGAACGCACAUUGCGCCCGCUGGUAUUCCGGCGGGCAUGCCUGUUCGAGCGUCAUUUCAACCCUCAAGCCCCCGGGUUUGGUGUUGGGGAUCGGCUCUGCCCUUCUGGGCGGUGCCGCCCCCGAAAUACAUUGGCGGUCUCGCUGCAGCCUCCAUUGCGUAGUAGCUAACACCUCGCAACUGGAACGCGGCGCGGCCAUGCCGUAAAACCCCAACUUCUGAAUGUUGACCUCGGAUCAGGUAGGAAUACCCGCUGAACUUAAGCAUAUCAAUAAGCGGAGGAAAAGAAACCAACAGGGAUUGCCCUAGUAACGGCGAGUGAAGCGGCAACAGCUCAAAUUUGAAAUCUGGCUUUCGGGCCCGAGUUGUAAUUUGUAGAGGAUACUUUUGAUGCGGUGCCUUCCGAGUUCCCUGGAACGGGACGCCAUAGAGGGUGAGAGCCCCGUCUGGUUGGAUGCCAAAUCUCUGUAAAGUUCCUUCGACGAGUCGAGUAGUUUGGGAAUGCUGCUCUAAAUGGGA